GCUGCAUCUGGUCCGGGUUGAAGUGGCCGCCGGCGCUGGUGGCGUCGGGUGCGCUGCAGUCGCCGGUUUCAUGCACGUGGAAACCGUGCACGCUGCC
Molecule: transfer RNA, 97 nt
Filed under: Arenimonas soli
Lineage: Bacteria; Pseudomonadati; Pseudomonadota; Gammaproteobacteria; Lysobacterales; Lysobacteraceae
Description: tRNA-Thr
Source: RNAcentral